Molecule: non-coding RNA, 26 nt
Filed under: Mus musculus (house mouse)
Lineage: Eukaryota; Metazoa; Chordata; Mammalia; Rodentia; Muridae
Source: RNAcentral
UUGUAGACAUGAGGAUGGUUAUGAUC